GAUUGAACGCUGGCGGUAUGCUUAACACAUGCAAGUCGAACGGAAACGAUACUAGCUUGCUAGUAGGCGUCGAGUGGCGGACGGGUGAGUAACGCGUAGGAAUCUGCCUGAUAGUGGGGGAUAGCCCGAAGAAAUUCGGAUUAAUACCGCAUAAUCUAUUCGUAGUAAAGUGGGGGACUUUCGAGCCUCACGCUAUCAGAUGAGCCUGCGUAAGAUUAGCUUGUUGGUAGGGUAAAAGCCUACCAAGGCGACGAUCUUUAGCUGGUCUGAGAGGAUGAUCAGCCACAUCGGGACUGAGACACGGCCCGAACUCCUACGGGAGACAGCAGUGGGGAAUAUUGGACAAUGGGGGCAACCCUGAUCCAGCAAUACCGCGUGUGUGAAGAAGGCCUGAGGGUUGUAAAGCACUUUCAAUUGUGAAGAAAAGUUAGCGGUUAAUAACCGUUAGCCUUGACGUUAACUUUAGAAGAAGCACCGGCUAACUCCGUGCCAGCAGCCGCGGGUAAUACGGAGGGUGCAAGCGUUAAUCGGAAUUACUGGGCGUAAAGCGUGCGUAGGCGGUUUAUUAAGUCAGAUGUGAAAGCCCCGGGCUUAACCUGGGAACUGCAUUUGAAACUGGUCAACUAGAGUAUGGUAGAGGAAAGUGGAAUUUUCUGGUGUAGCGGUGAAAUGCGUAGAUAUCAGAAAGGAACAUCAAUGGCGAAGGCAGCUUUCUGGGACCAAUACUGACGCUGAGGUACCGAAAGCGUGGGUAGCAAACAGGAUUAGAUACCCUGGUAGUCCACGCCGUAAACGAUGAUAACUAGCCCGUUGGGGGGAUUUACCCUUUAGUGGCGAAGCUAACGCGUUAAGUUAUCCGCCUGGGGAGUACGGCCGCAAGGUUAAAACUCAAAGGAAUUGACGGGGACCCGCACAAGCGGUGGAGCAUGUGGUUUAAUUCGAUGCAACGCGAAGAACCUUACCUGGUCUUGACAUCCUGCGAACUUUCUAGAAAUAGAUUGGUGCCUUCGGGAACGCAGUGACAGGUGCUGCAUGGCUGUCGUCAGCUCGUGUCGUGAGAUGUUGGGUUAAGUCCCGUAACGAGCGCAACCCCUAUCCUUAUUUGCCAGCACAUCAUGGUGGGAACUAUAAGGAGACUGCCGGUGAUAAACCGGAGGAAGGCGGGGACGACGUCAAGUCAUCAUGGCCCUUACGACCAGGGCUACACACGUGCUACAAUGGGAAGGACAAAGAGCCGCGAAGCCGCGAGGUGUAGCUAAUCUCAUAAACCUUUUCGUAGUCCGGAUUGGAGUCUGCAACUCGACUCCAUGAAGUCGGAAUCGCUAGUAAUCGUAGAUCAGAAUGCUACGGUGAAUACGUUCCCGGGUCUUGUACAC
Molecule: ribosomal RNA, 1376 nt
Filed under: uncultured bacterium
Lineage: Bacteria
Description: bacterial SSU rRNA
Rfam family: Bacterial small subunit ribosomal RNA
Source: RNAcentral